AUUGAACGCUGGCGGCAGGCCUAACACAUGCAAGUCGAGCGAGCGACGGACGGGUGAGUAAUGUAUGGGGACUGCCCGAUAGAGGGGGAUAACUACUGGAAACGGUGGCUAAUACCGCAUACUGUCGGAUAACCCAGAGUGGAUUAGCUAGUGGGGAAGGUAAUGGCUUACCUAGGCGACGAUCCCUAGCUGGUCUGAGAGGAUGAUCAGCGAAACUGGGACUGAGACACGGCCCAGACUCCUACGGAGGCAGCAGUGGGGAAUAUUUGACAAUUGGCGCAAGCCUGAUGCCGCCAUGCCGCGGUGAUGAAGAAGGCCCUAGGGUUGUAAAGUACUUUCAGUCGGGAGGCGUUACCGAAAGAAGAAGCAACGGCUAACUCCGUGCCAGCCGCCGCGGUAAUUC
This 403-nucleotide ribosomal RNA is filed under the name uncultured bacterium. RNAcentral describes it as "partial 16S ribosomal RNA". It matches the Rfam family "Bacterial small subunit ribosomal RNA", at positions 30 to 526 of the family's 1533-position model. The record is from RNAcentral.